Molecule: ribosomal RNA, 433 nt
Filed under: uncultured bacterium
Lineage: Bacteria
Description: partial 16S ribosomal RNA
Rfam family: Bacterial small subunit ribosomal RNA
Source: RNAcentral
AACGAACGCUGGCGGCAUGCCUAACACAUGCAAGUGGAACGAGACCUUCGGGUCUAGUGGCGCACGGGUGCGUAACGCGUGGGAACCUGCCCUUAGGUUCGGAAUAACUCCCCGAAAGGGGUGCUAAUACCGGAUAAUGUCUUCGGACCAAAGAUUUAUCGCCUUUGGAUGGGCCCGCGUUGGAUUAGCUAGUUGGUAGGGUAAAAGCCUACCAAGGCGACGAUCCAUAGCUGGUCUGAGAGGAUGAUCAGCCACACUGGGACUGAGACACGGCCCAGACUCCUACGGGAGGCAGCAGUGGGGAAUAUUGGACAAUGGGCGAAAGCCUGAUCCAGCAAUGCCGCGUGAGUGAUGAAGGCCUUAGGGUUGUAAAGCUCUUUUACCCGGGAUGAUAAUGACAGUACCGGGAGAAUAAGCUCCGGCUAACUCCGUG